RNAcentral lists this ribosomal RNA (336 nucleotides) under Triticum aestivum (bread wheat). RNAcentral describes it as "partial small subunit ribosomal RNA". Lineage: Eukaryota; Viridiplantae; Streptophyta; Magnoliopsida; Poales; Poaceae. The record is from RNAcentral.
AUGGCAAGUUCAUGUUAUAUGCAACCAACACGUAGGAAUGAGAGAUAUAGGGAAAGGAACACAAAGGAAUCCUUCAGGAUUGUCUACCCUCGACGGAAGGUUCAGAAGCACCUUAUACGCUCUUUGUGUCAUGAAGGCGUUAUUCAAACCGACUUCCACAUGGGUGGAUAUCUACAGGAUGGUGUUGACUCCCUCCGCUGGGUUUGGGAUCCAGAUGGCAAGUUAUCCUCGCGUUCAGCUUAUGAGGCUUUCCACGUAGGUGGAGUCGUUGCUAGUGCUGGCUCUGACCAUGUGCCUCCGUCACCUGUGUGGCCGGACUGGGCCCGCAAAUUUUAG